UGGCGACCAUAGCGUUUUGGACCCACCUGAUUCCAUCCCGAACUCAGAAGUGAAACGAAACAGCGUCGAUGGUAGUGUGGGGUCUCCCCAAGAAAAAUCUAAAGGCAAAAAAA
RNAcentral lists this ribosomal RNA (113 nucleotides) under Vibrio cholerae. The record is from RNAcentral. Lineage: Bacteria; Pseudomonadati; Pseudomonadota; Gammaproteobacteria; Vibrionales; Vibrionaceae.